Molecule: transfer RNA, 72 nt
Filed under: Camelus bactrianus (Bactrian camel)
Lineage: Eukaryota; Metazoa; Chordata; Mammalia; Artiodactyla; Camelidae
Also listed under: 2 other names
Rfam family: tRNA
About the family: Transfer RNA (tRNA) molecules are approximately 80 nucleotides in length. Their secondary structure includes four short double-helical elements and three loops (D, anti-codon, and T loops).
Source: Rfam by way of RNAcentral
GAGGGGAUGGCCCAGUGGUAGAGCGCAUGCUUAGCAUGCACAAGGUCCUGGGUUCAAUCCCCAGCACCUGCA